GAUGAACGCUGGCGGCGUGCCUAAUACAUGCAAGUCGAGCGAACGGACGAGAAGCUUUCUUCUCUGAUUUUAGCGGCGGACGGGUGAGUAACACGUGUAUAACCUACCUAUAAGACGGGGAUAACUUCCUGAAACCGGAACUAAUACCGGAUAAUAUUUUGAACCGCAUAGUUCAAGAGUUAAAGACGUUCUUGCUUUCACUUAUAGAUGGAUCCGCACUGCAUUAGCUAGUUGGUAAGGUAACGGCUUACCAAGGCAACGAUGCAUAGCCGACCUGAGAGGGUGAUCGGCCACACUGGAACUGAGACACGGUCCAGACUCCUACGGGAGGCAGCAGUAGGGAAUCUUGCGCAAAGGGCGAAAGCCUGACGGAGCAACGCCGCGUGAGUGAUGAAGGUCUUCGGAUCGUAAAACACUGUUAUUAGGGAAGAACAUAUGUGUAAGUAAAUGUGCACAUAUUGACGGUACCUAAUCAGAAAGCCACGGCUAACUCCGUG
This 497-nucleotide ribosomal RNA is filed under the name uncultured bacterium. RNAcentral describes it as "partial 16S ribosomal RNA". It matches the Rfam family "Bacterial small subunit ribosomal RNA", at positions 28 to 507 of the family's 1533-position model. The record is from RNAcentral.